CUACGGGGGGCUGCAGUAAGGAAUAUUGCACAAUGGGGGGAACCCUGAUGCAGCAACGCCGCGUGGAGGAUGACGCAUUUCGGUGUGUAAACUCCUUUUAUAUGUCAAGAAAAUGACGGUAGCAUAUGAAUAAGCACCGGCUAACUCCGUGCCAGCAGCCGCGGUAAUACGGAGGGUGCAAGCGUUACUCGGAAUCACUGGGCGUAAAGGACGCGUAGGCGGGUUGGAAAGUCAGGUGUGAAAUCCUACAGCUUAACUGUAGAACUGCACUUGAAACUUCUAAUCUAGAGUAUGGGAGGGGGAGAUGGAAUUAGUGGUGUAGGGGUAAAAUCCGUAGAUAUCACUAGGAAUACCUAAAGCGAAGGCGAUCUCCUGGAACAUUACUGACGCUAAGGCGUGAAAGCGCGGGGAGCAAACAGGAUUAGAUACCCUUGUAGUC
This 439-nucleotide ribosomal RNA is filed under the name uncultured bacterium. Its description in RNAcentral is "partial 16S ribosomal RNA". It matches the Rfam family "Bacterial small subunit ribosomal RNA", at positions 339 to 795 of the family's 1533-position model. The record is from RNAcentral.